AGCGAACGUUGGCGGCAGGCUUAACACAUGCAAGUCGAGCGGGCACUUCGGUGUCAGCGGCAGACGGGUGAGUAACACGUGGGAACGUACCCUUUGGUUCGGAAUAACGCUGGGAAACUAGCGCUAAUACCGGAUACGCCCUUUUGGGGAAAGGCUUGCUGCCGAAGGAUCGGCCCGCGUCUGAUUAGCUAGUUGGUGGGGUAAUGGCCUACCAAGGCGACGAUCAGUAGCUGGUCUGAGAGGAUGAUCAGCCACACUGGGACUGAGACACGGCCCAGACUCCUACGGGAAGCAGCAGUGGGGAAUAUUGGACAAUGGGCGCAAGCCUGAUCCAGCCAUGCCGCGUGAGUGAUGAAGGCCUUAGGGUUGUAAAGCUCUUUUGUCCGGGACGAUAAUGACGGUACCGGAAGAAUAAGCCCCGGCUAACUUCGUG
RNAcentral lists this ribosomal RNA (433 nucleotides) under uncultured bacterium. RNAcentral's name for it is "partial 16S ribosomal RNA". It matches the Rfam family "Bacterial small subunit ribosomal RNA", at positions 29 to 507 of the family's 1533-position model. The record is from RNAcentral.